UUGCUCAUUCCUGAUGACAAGUCAGACGCACACGGUACAUUUUUACUAGCCUUCGGAGCGCACUAACACUAUUGGGACAUAAAUUAUUAACUUUUUUGAACAAAACUACAUUUGUUAUGGACCUGGGAUGCCUAGAAGUGCCUUCUGAUAAAGAUAAUCAAAGGACCUGAGCCCUAGGACCAUGCCUCAGGACUACCUGGCAUGAUGACUCCUUGCUGUCCCCAGUCCACCUGGCCGUGCUGCUGCUCCAGUUUCAACUGUUCUGCCUGCGGCUAUGGAACCCUGACCUGUUCACCGGACGUGCUUGUUGCACCCUCGACAACUACUAUGAUUAUUAUUAUUUGACCAUGCUGGUCAUUUAUGAACAUUUUAACAUCUUGAUCAUGUUCUGUUAUAAUAUCCACC
RNAcentral lists this long non-coding RNA (405 nucleotides) under Salmo salar (Atlantic salmon). RNAcentral describes it as "lncRNA (ENSSSAG00000084844.1)". The record is from RNAcentral. Lineage: Eukaryota; Metazoa; Chordata; Actinopteri; Salmoniformes; Salmonidae.